RNAcentral lists this long non-coding RNA (438 nucleotides) under Pan troglodytes (chimpanzee). RNAcentral's name for it is "lincRNA". The record is from RNAcentral. Lineage: Eukaryota; Metazoa; Chordata; Mammalia; Primates; Hominidae.
AGCGGCAGCCCGAUCACCCCCAAACCUCGUCAGCAUCCCCACCUGGCCCCAACCUGCCAGCCUUCACCAGGCUCUUAACAAGAGGCCAGUUCUCAGCCAGCCUCUCUCCUGUCCUUGAGCGGCAAGUGGGCAGCUGAGCAGAAUUGUAAAAACAGUUUGUGAACUACCUUUGGAGCCCGUAAAGUGGAGAUGAGCCCCAUGCAUGUCACUGAACUCAGAACAUGGGGAGCCUGGGUUACAGAUCCACAGAAUAACCAAGACCAGCGUGGCAGGGGCCUCCAGGGGCCGAAACCUCCAGGAGAGAAGUCAGUAAAUGUUAUAGAAAGCACAGCCUGUGUCGGGAAUGGAGAUGAAAUAUUUCUUUGUUAGACAUGCCAUCAAAAAGUCCCGAAGUUGAGGAAGAACGCAGGUUUAUUUUCAAAUAAAUGCUCACUUGGA